AUACGGAGGGGGUUAGCGUUGUUCGGAAUUACUGGGCGUAAAGCGCACGUAGGCGGACUGGAAAGUUGGGGGUGAAAUCCCGGGGCUCAACCCCGGAACUGCCUCCAAAACUUCCAAUCUAGAGAUCGAGAGAGGUGAGUGGAAUUCCAAGUGUAGAGGUGAAAUUCGUAGAUAUUUGGAGGAACACCAGUGGCGAAGGCGGCUCACUGGAUCGAUACUGACGCUGAGGUGCGAAAGCGUGGGGAGCAAACAGGAUUAGAAACCCUAGUAGUCC
Molecule: ribosomal RNA, 274 nt
Filed under: uncultured bacterium
Lineage: Bacteria
Description: partial 16S ribosomal RNA
Rfam family: Bacterial small subunit ribosomal RNA
Source: RNAcentral